AACUACUAAAACAGAAUGAAAUGAAAGGAAGGAAACGAAGCUGCUCAGUGUGAAAGAAUCUGGUGGAGGAAGAUUUAUCGAUGUGGGAAGACUGAUGAUGCCAAAAGAAGACCAAUCACACCGACACACCCUGAUCACCACACAUUUACCUAUGUGCUUUUCUCCUUGCGUGCCCUUCAUGUGGGUUUUCUGGAACAUUGUGACAGGUCGUUUGUUAUAAAUCACCUGAUGCUCUCAGGUUCAAGGCCACCAGGACAGAAUGCUGAGGAACCAGUUCAAUAGAAUCCAGGUUUACCUCCGUAACCCCACGUCUCUGCUCUGACCAUGUCAAAGUUACAUCAGUCUUCCGGGUGUGAAGAGAAGCAGCAGUAUAAAGGACGGAGACGGAGACACAGCAGGCACAUCUUCCUGAGAGACUUCACUGAUCUCCAUCUUCAGAGCUCCGUCUCCCUGCUGCUCCACCCGACCUCCACAAGAGUCUCUCCACCUGUUCCUGCCUCUUCUCCACCAUGAAGACAGGUGCUCUGCUUCUCCUGCUGGCAGUUGCUGCCAGCCAGGUGGACGUCUCCAUGUCUCAAUCAGUAACAUUUGAUCUUUCUGAUGGAGUGGUGAACAUCAGCUUGUGUCCCAUCACCUUCUAUGGACGCUCAUUCUCAUGGGUGGACGUGAGGGUGAAGGAUUUUUUGGUAAUUUGUUUCAUGGACGGCGCCAACGAUCCACCUCAAGACUGUCUGACGCUGAAUCAAGCGUUUGGAUCAGAAGAGGUUUUUGUGACGCUGUCAUCAGCUGCAACAGAUGCAUCUUCUGUAAAUCUGCGCAACAUAAAGGGGUCAUCAAAAUGCUCUUUGGCACUUGUUUUCGUAGAAGAUUCCACC
This is a non-coding RNA of Gasterosteus aculeatus aculeatus (three-spined stickleback), 875 nucleotides long. The record is from RefSeq and is a predicted model, not a curated record. NCBI's taxonomy places the organism in Eukaryota, Metazoa, Chordata, Actinopteri, Perciformes, Gasterosteidae.